This 328-nucleotide ribosomal RNA is filed under the name uncultured eukaryote. RNAcentral describes it as "partial 18S ribosomal RNA". It matches the Rfam family "Eukaryotic small subunit ribosomal RNA", at positions 1470 to 1796 of the family's 1831-position model. The record is from RNAcentral.
CCCUUAGACGUUCUGGGCCGCACGCGCGCUACACUGACCAGUGCAACAAGCAUCCGUCCUUGGCCGACAGGCCCGGGCAAUCUUUGAACGCUGGUCGUGAUGGGGAUAGACUUUUGCAAUUUUUGGUCUUCAACGAGGAAUUCCUAGUAAACGCAAGUCAUCAACUUGCAUUGAUUACGUCCCUGCCCUUUGUACACACCGCCCGUCGCACCUACCGAUUGAAUGACUCGGUGAAAAAUUGGGACUGUGAUUGAAAUUGCUUCAUUGCGAAUUUAAUUAUGGAAACUUUCUUUAACCUAGGCAUUUAGAGGAAGGUGAAGUCGUAACA